UUGAGUCCUUGUUGCCUAUAUAUAGUGCCACCAACAUCACUUAAUUAUUUCCAACGAUCUCUCUAGAAUAUUCAUACUCUCUUUCUCUCUCUCAAAAAAUGAAGCUCUCUAACCGUGUUUUUUCAGCCCUUCUCCUGAUCUUUUUAAUCGUUUUUGCUGCCACUACAGAGAUGGGUUUGGCGGAAAGAAUAUGCAAGACACGGAGCGAAAGUUUCUCAGGUGUGUGCAUAGGCACUAACAAUUGUGCCAUCAUCUGCCAAGUAGUUGAAAAAUUUGAAGACGGUCAAUGCGAAUUAGACGGAUUCUUGCCUGGUUGUUUUUGCACCAAAGCCUGUUAAAGACCAUCAUAAUAUUAUCAAGAACCAAUUGUAUUUCAGACUUCUCUCUUUAAUAAUUGCUAUCUUGAAUUACAUACACUCUUUGUUAAA
Long non-coding RNA from Camelina sativa (false flax), 428 nucleotides. RefSeq lists it as uncharacterized. The record is from RefSeq and is a predicted model, not a curated record. NCBI's taxonomy places the organism in Eukaryota, Viridiplantae, Streptophyta, Magnoliopsida, Brassicales, Brassicaceae.